This 87-nucleotide transfer RNA is filed under the name bacterium. RNAcentral describes it as "tRNA-Ser". It matches the Rfam family "tRNA". Rfam says of the family: Transfer RNA (tRNA) molecules are approximately 80 nucleotides in length. Their secondary structure includes four short double-helical elements and three loops (D, anti-codon, and T loops). Further hydrogen bonds mediate the characteristic L-shaped molecular structure. tRNAs have two regions of fundamental functional importance: the anti-codon, which is responsible for specific mRNA codon recognition, and the 3' end, to which the tRNAs corresponding amino acid is attached (by aminoacyl-tRNA synthetases). tRNAs cope with the degeneracy of the genetic code in two manners: having more than one tRNA (with a specific anti-codon) for a particular amino acid; and 'wobble' base-pairing, i.e. permitting non-standard base-pairing at the 3rd anti-codon position. The record is from RNAcentral.
GGAGAAAUGGCAGAGUGGUCUAAUGCACCGGUUUACUAAACCGACAAGGGUUAAAAUCCUUCAUAGGUUCGAAUCCUAUUUUCUCCG